RNAcentral lists this transfer RNA (76 nucleotides) under Aggregatibacter actinomycetemcomitans NUM4039. RNAcentral describes it as "tRNA-Gly". The record is from RNAcentral. Lineage: Bacteria; Pseudomonadati; Pseudomonadota; Gammaproteobacteria; Pasteurellales; Pasteurellaceae.
GGUCGCGAGUUCGAGCCUCGUUUCCCGCUCCAAGCCCGAGUGGUGGAAUCGGUAGACACAAGGGAUUUUCAAUUUU